RNAcentral lists this ribosomal RNA (419 nucleotides) under uncultured bacterium. RNAcentral describes it as "partial 16S ribosomal RNA". It matches the Rfam family "Bacterial small subunit ribosomal RNA", at positions 29 to 421 of the family's 1533-position model. The record is from RNAcentral.
AACGAACGCUGGCGGCGUGGAUAAGACAUGCAAGUCGAACGCUUAUCUUUGUGUAGCAAUACAUGAAGGUAGGAGUGGCGCAAGGGUGCGUAACACGUGGGUAAUUUGCCGCGAAGUCCGGGAUAACUUGCUGAAAGGCGAGCUAAUACCGGAUGUGGAAAUUGGAAGGCAUCUUUUGAUUUCUGAAGCUGGGGGACCUGUAAGGGCCUGGCGCUUUGCGAUAAGCCCGCGGCCUAUCAGCUAGUUGGUGAGGUAACCGGCCCACCAAGGCUAAGACGGGUAGCUGGUCUGAGAGGACGACCAGCCACACUGGAACUGAGACACGGUCCAGACACCUACGGGUGCAGCAGUCGAGUAAUUUUUCNCAAUGGGCGCAAGCCUGAAGGAGCGACGCCGCGUGUGGGAUGUAAGGGUUUCGA